RNAcentral lists this ribosomal RNA (435 nucleotides) under uncultured bacterium. Its description in RNAcentral is "partial 16S ribosomal RNA". It matches the Rfam family "Bacterial small subunit ribosomal RNA", at positions 29 to 507 of the family's 1533-position model. The record is from RNAcentral.
AGCGAACGCUGGCGGCAGGCUUAACACAUGCAAGUCGAGCGGGCAUCUUCGGAUGUCAGCGGCAGACGGGUGAGUAACACGUGGGAACGUACCCUUCGGUUCGGAACAACUCUGGGAAACUGGAGCUAAUACCGGAUACGCCCUUAUGGGGAAAGGGUUACUGCCGAAGGAUCGGCCCGCGUCUGAUUAGCUAGUUGGUGGGGUAACGGCCUACCAAGGCGACGAUCAGUAGCUGGUCUGAGAGGAUGAUCAGCCACACUGGGACUGAGACACGGCCCAGACUCCUACGGGAGGCAGCAGUGGGGAAUAUUGGACAAUGGGCGCAAGCCUGAUCCAGCCAUGCCGCGUGAGUGAUGAAGGCCUUAGGGUUGUAAAGCUCUUUUGUCCGGGACGAUAAUGACGGUACCGGAAGAAUAAGCCCCGGCUAACUUCGUG